CACGUAGGGACCAAGCGUUGUCCGGAUUCAUUGGGCGUAAAGGGCUCGUAGGCGGUUUGUCGCGUCGGGAGUGAAAACACGGGGCUUAACCCCGUGCCUGCUUCCGAUACGGGCAGACUAGAGGUAUGCAGGGGAGAACGGAAUUCCUGGUGUAGCGGUGAAAUGCGCAGAUAUCAGGAGGAACACCGGUGGCGAAGGCGGUUCUCUGGGCAUUACCUGACGCUGAGGAGCGAAAGUGUGGGGAGCGAACAGG
RNAcentral lists this ribosomal RNA (253 nucleotides) under uncultured bacterium. RNAcentral's name for it is "partial 16S ribosomal RNA". It matches the Rfam family "Bacterial small subunit ribosomal RNA", at positions 524 to 776 of the family's 1533-position model. The record is from RNAcentral.